RNAcentral lists this ribosomal RNA (224 nucleotides) under uncultured bacterium. Its description in RNAcentral is "partial 16S ribosomal RNA". It matches the Rfam family "Bacterial small subunit ribosomal RNA", at positions 15 to 230 of the family's 1533-position model. The record is from RNAcentral.
GAUCAUGGCUCAGGAUGAACGCUAGCUACAGGCUUAACACAUGCAGGUCGCGGGGCAGCAUGAAGGAUGCUUGCAUCCUUUGAUGGCGACCGGCGCACGGGUGAGUAACGCGUAUCCAACCUGCCUGUUACCACGGCACAGCCCGUCGAAAGGCGGAUUAAUGCCGUAUGUGGUCCUGAAAGGGCAUCUGAUCACGACUAAAGGUUCAGCGGUAACGGAUGGGG